AACGAACGCUGGCGGCAUGCCUAACACAUGCAAGUCGAACGAGACCUUCGGGUUUAGUGGCGCACGGGUGCGUAACGCGGGGGAACCUGCCCUUAGGUUCGGAAUAACUCCCCGAAAGGGGUGCUAAUACCGGAUAAUGUCUUCGGACCAAAGAUUUAUCGCCUUUGGAUGGGCCCGCGUUGGAUUAGCUAGUUGGUAGGGUAAAAGCCUACCAAGGCGACGAUCCAUAGCUGGUCUGAGAGGAUGAUCAGCCACACUGGGACUGAGACACGGCCCAGACUCCUACGGGAGGCAGCAGUGGGGAAUAUUGGACAAUGGGCGCAAGCCUGAUCCAGCAAUGCCGCGUGAGUGAUGCAGGCCUUAGGGUUGUAAAGCUCUUUUACCCGGGAUGAUAAUGACAGUACCGGGAGAAUAAGCUCCGGCUAACUCCGUG
This 433-nucleotide ribosomal RNA is filed under the name uncultured bacterium. RNAcentral describes it as "partial 16S ribosomal RNA". It matches the Rfam family "Bacterial small subunit ribosomal RNA", at positions 29 to 507 of the family's 1533-position model. The record is from RNAcentral.